RNAcentral lists this unclassified non-coding RNA (249 nucleotides) under Hevea brasiliensis (rubber tree). The record is from RNAcentral. Lineage: Eukaryota; Viridiplantae; Streptophyta; Magnoliopsida; Malpighiales; Euphorbiaceae.
GGUCUAUAUGUUGCACACCUGAUCUUGCUAAGCUUGAGGGGUGCAAACAAGGGGAAGUCAUCCGGAGACCAUCAUCUGUGGAUCUGAACUGGCCCAUUAUAUUAAGCACACACUUCAGUGCAAAUUACUUAUCCACAAAGAUGGAAGCCGAAGAAGUUUCUAUUACAAAGACUGGGAUGUAUAACUUGUUCUUCAUCUCCUGUGAUCCAAAACUUAGAGGACUCAUGAUGAGCGGGAAGACAAUCUGGA